This is a non-coding RNA of Myotis brandtii (Brandt's bat), 71 nucleotides long. NCBI's taxonomy places the organism in Eukaryota, Metazoa, Chordata, Mammalia, Chiroptera, Vespertilionidae. The record is from Rfam.
GGCCAGAUGGCUCAGUUGGUUGAGCAUGGUCCCAUGCACCAAAAAGUUGAGUUCGAUUCCCACUCAGGUCA